This 71-nucleotide transfer RNA is filed under the name Candidatus Woesearchaeota archaeon. RNAcentral's name for it is "tRNA-His". It matches the Rfam family "tRNA". From Rfam's summary of the family: Transfer RNA (tRNA) molecules are approximately 80 nucleotides in length. Lineage: Archaea; Nanobdellati; Candidatus Woesearchaeota. The record is from RNAcentral.
ACGACCGUAGUUUAAUGGUAGAAUUUGAGAUUGUGGAUCUCGAGACGCGAGUUCGAUUCUCGCCGGCCGUC